This 1961-nucleotide ribosomal RNA is filed under the name human gut metagenome. RNAcentral's name for it is "bacterial LSU rRNA". It matches the Rfam family "Bacterial large subunit ribosomal RNA", at positions 1 to 1976 of the family's 2925-position model. The record is from RNAcentral.
GUAAAUAAUUAAGGGCGUAUGGUGGAUGCCUAGGCUCUCAGAGGCGAUGAAGGACGUGAUAAGCUGCGAAAAGCUCCGUUUAGGUGCAAAUAACCUUUGAUGCGGAGAUCUCCGAAUGGGAUAACCCAAUAUGUUGAAGACAUAUUAUACCGUAAGGUAGGCAAACGCAGGGAACUGAAACAUCUAAGUACCUGCAGGAGAAGAAAACAAACGUGAUUCCCCCAGUAGCGGCGAGCGACCGGGGAUAAGCCCAAACCGUUAUUGUUUCGGCAUUAACGGGGUAGUAGGACUGCAAGCUUGAUGAAAUAAAUGAAAUGGAACACUUUGGAAAAUGUGAUCACAGAGGGUGAUAAUCCCGUACAUGCAAGUUUAUGAAUCAUAGCAGACUCCUGAGUAAGUCGGGACACGUGUAAUCCUGACCGAAUCCGCCGGGACCAUCCGGCAAGGCUAAAUACUCCUGAGAGACCGAUAGUGAACCAGUACCGUGAGGGAAAGGUGAAAAGCACUUCGAACAGAAGAGUGAAAUAGUCCCUGAACCCAUACGCCUACAAGCAGUCGGAGCCGCUUCGUGCGGUGACGGCGUGCCUUUUGCAUAAUGAGCCUACGAGUUACUCAUCACCAGCGAGGUUAAGUACUUCAGGUACGUAAGCCGAAGCGAAAGCGAGUCUGAAUAGGGCGUCAAGUUGGUGGUGGUAGACGCGAAACCUUAGUGAUCUACCCAUGGGCAGGGUGAAGGUUUGGUAACACAAACUGGAGGCCCGAACCGGUAAACGUUGAAAAGUUUUCGGAUGACCUGUGGGUAGGGGUGAAAGGCCAAUCAAACUGGGAAAUAGCUCGUACUCUCCGAAAUGCAUUUAGGUGCAGCCUCUGUUGUUUUGUUCUAGAGGUAGAGCUACUGAUUGGAUGCGAGGGCUUCACCGCCUAUCAAAUCCGGCCAAACUCCGAAUGCUAGAACAUGAAGACAGGGAGUGAGCCAGCGGGUGCUAAGGUCCGUUGACGAAAGAGGGAGAACUCAGACCAUCAGCUAAGGUCCCCAAUUGUAUGCUAAGUUGGAAUUAAAACGGGGUGGGACUGCUUAGACAGCUAGGAUGUUGGCUUGGAAGCAGCCAUUCAUUUAAAGAGUGCGUAACAGCUCACUAGUCGAGCGGUCCUGCAUGGAUAAUACGCGGGCAUAAGCAUAUAACCGAAGCUAUGGGAUUGUAGAUGAUACAAUCGGUAGGAGAGCAUUCCAUUCAGCAUAGAAGCAGUACCGUGAGGUAUUGUGGAGCGGAUGGAAAAGCAAAUGUAGGCAUAAGUAACGAUAAUGCGGGUGAGAACCCCGCACGCCGAAAGAUCAAGGAUUCCCCGGCAAUGUCAAUCAUCCGGGGGUAAGUCGGAUCCUAAGGGUAAGCCGAGUGGCGAUCCCGAUGGCAAACAGGUUAAUAUUCCUGUACUGAUCAUAACUGCGAUGCAGCGACGCAGAGGUGACACUGCUGCGUACUGACGGAAUAGUACGUUGAAACCCGUAUUCUUUGAUACCGGUAGUGAAGCACGCCGGUAGAGAUGAAAGGUGAUAGUACCGCAAUGCUUCGGUUGCGCGGAUAACGCAGGUAAGCUGACUGCCAAGAAAACCUGCUAAGCUUCAGGUAAUGAUCAUCCGUACUGUAAACGGACACACGUGAUCAGGUAGAAAAUACUAAGGCGCUCGAGAGAUUCAUGGUUAAGGAACUAGGCAAAAUGGUCCUGUAACUUCGGGAUAAAGGACGCUCUUGUGAAAGAGCCGCAGAUAAUAGGCCCAGGCGACUGUUUACCAAAAACACAUGGCUAUGCUAAUUCGCAAGAAGAUGUAUAUGGCCUGACACCUGCCCGGUGCCGGAAGGUUAAGAGGAGAGCUCAGAGGCAACUCGAAGGUUUGAAUUGAAGCCCCGGUAAACGGCGGCCGUAACUAUAACGGUCCUAAGGUAGCGAAAUUCCUUGUCGGG